UGCAAACUUCUUUUCCAGAAAAGGUCAUCUCUUUCUGCUCCUACAAGCCAGGUCUGGGUGUGCAUCCCCACGAGGUUCAUGGCUGUCAGGUCUCCCGCCUGGUGAGCAUUUGGCUGGGGGUUGGGGGGGAUGGCCCCAUCUUGGACUGGCUCAGACUGGCUCGUGCUGGCUCAGUCACUCCUGGGCUCACCGGCUGCAGGGCCGUCCCAGGCCCGAGGGUGCCACAGCGGACAGGCCGCCCCGUGCCGUCCAGGACACAGGUCAUGGAAGGGCGGAGGCGAGCGGUGGCAGGGGCCCUGCUCCCCCGCGGGCUGCCCACAGCAUUGGCGCAGGGAGCGCAGGAAGGGGAGUGGGUGUCUUGCCAGCUCAGCUGCUGUGACAGAUGCCACCAAUAGCGGCUCUGGGGCCUGGACGUCAGAGCUCCAGGUGCCACAGGGCUGGCCACUCCCAGGCCUCGCUCCAUGGCCGAGUCCGCACGUGGCCUCUCCUCCCCACCCUGUGACUUCACCUCACCUGCGUCACCUCCUCGAAGGCCCGUCUCCACAGACGGUCACGCUGGGGUGAGGGCUUCAAACUGUGAGUUUUGGGGAGCCUGUGCGGGAAGAGCUUUCUGGGCGCUUCCCAGGAGUCUGUGAUGGGUGGAGGGAAAACGGAGUGCGAACUAGAUAAGGUACAGCUGUUACCCCAGACCUUAGAGACACCCGGGGCACGCUUCCCUCGCUGCCUCUGAGGAUCUGCAAACGUGCGGAGCCUCAGCGAGCCCCAGAUGGUAGGGGUUUAGUGCUCUCCCUGCCUGUCUCGACGCCCCGGAGGGAAUGGGGGUCGGGGAGGGUGCGUCCAGGAUGCAAAUACUGAUUUACUGGGGAACCUGGAGUCCGGUUUCUGACUGGCUUGGCCUCCGCCCCCGGGAGCCUGUGCAGUGUUACCCGCUCUGUACACGGCGGACCCGGGAAGGAUGGUUCCGGAAUCCGAGGGGAUCCGAGCGGACGCCUCCCGCCCCGCGCAGGUUCAAGGUGGAGGCCGAGCCUUGUAAACCAGCACCUCUGCCCCCCGCACCCGCCGCCAGACUUGAAGGAAAACCCUCAAGGUGAAGAAACUAAAAUGGCGUAUUUUGGGGCUUUUGAAACAUAAGGAGUUCUGAUUUUUCUUCUUGAAAAGAGACGAUUUUAGAACCUCCUUGGCAUCCCACAGUCCUCUUGGUGGUCUCAUCUUUUUCUCCUAUUUUAAUGUGUAAUGAAGCUGUACUUCAACAAUUGCAUUGGGACCAUCUGCCCAGUAGACGCUGCACUUGUAUUUUUACUUUCUAUUACAAAAAUGACCAGAAAUGCAGCUUCGCUCUGCUCUACGCAAUAGAUGUUUAUCUCAGAGUCUUUAAAGUGAAUUCCAUUUUAAAGUGUAUUAGAAUAGCUGGAUAUUUAAAGGACCCUGGCCAGAGUUCUUUAGUGAAGAAGCACUCAGGUACUUCAGAGACUUUGAAAGCAGGAGUGACCGUGUAAACAGGACCGCAGACGCCCUGACCCUCAGACCUGAGAGGACAGUGUCCGCGCUGUGAGGCCCGCCCUCGUUCUGUGUAGUAGGGCCCCGAGUUCUCCGGAACCCACCCCCAGGCGUCCCCGCCCCCGCUCCCUCUGAUGUGCAAAUGCAGGAGGAGGAAGGACGGGUUCGUUCACCCUUCACCAGGCCGCCCGAGGUGACCAGCACGGGCUGGGAAAGGAGCUGAGUGGACGCGGUUCGCUUUGGGACGCUGGCGGGGACGAAUGGUCUCUCUUCCCCCUUAUCUAUCCAUCUGUGAAUCCUCUAGAGCAUUCAGGCUCGGAGCGAGAACGGUUUGUGUUACGUGGCUCAGCUUAGCACACGAAGCAGGUCAGCUUCCAGGAAUGCACAGGAGGGGCCGAGGCGCCCUGGACCCCCUCCCUCCCUUGGGUUAUGUUCACCCCGCGUGUGCAAACGGCCGGAGUGGCCUGGGCCUCGGCUGGAUGGAGAAGGCCGGCUCGCAGACGCCAGGGCGGGGUUUGUCGGCUCGGGCGUCAGACUCCGGGACGACUCCAGCUCGUACAUGGUGGUCAGGUUGAAGAGUGCGCUCUCGUGCAGGCAGUGCCGCGGGUCCUGCUGGGUCAUGGCCUCCAGCUGCCGCAGCGAGUCCUUGAGUCGGCCCAGAAUCUCUGUGAAGCAGCGGUGGGCUUCUGCAAAGUUAUUCUGACCGAGGUGAAGGAAAGCUCUGGAAAUAAGCAACGCAGAGGAUUAACCAGGAAAGUCAGGAUGCGGGCAGGUGCGCGGCAGCAGCACUGACGGGGCGGCUCCAGGACUGGAGCCCCACAGGGAGAGCCAGGCAGCACUGGCCCCACAGGCGCCACCCGAGCCAGGUGGUGGCAGUGCUUUCCAGAUACGGCAGGGGACAGGGCAUUCUGGGGAGCAAACUGCACUGGGUCUGACGUCUGUUAGUUUAAUUCGAUCCCUAUCAAAAUACCGAUGGCAUUUUUCACAGAACUGGGACAAAAGAAUUUUAAAUUUGUAGGGAAACACAAAAGACCCCGAAUAGCCAAAACUAUCUUGAGAAAGAAAACUGGAGCUGGAGGAAUCACGCUUUCUGACUUCCGACUAUACUACAAAUCUACAAUGAUCAAAACAGUAUGGUACUGGCACAAAAACUGACAUAGAUCAAUGGACCAGGAAAGAAAGCCCAGAGGCAAACCCACACACCUAUGGUCGACUAAUCUAUGACAAAGGAGGCAAGAAUAUACAGCAGAGAAAAGUCUCUUCAGCAAGUGGUGUUGGGAAGACUGGACAGCCUCAUGUAAAAGAAUGAAAUUAGAGGGAAUUCCCUGGCAGUCCAGUGGUUAGGACUCGGCUCUUUCACUGCUGGGGCCCAGGUUCGACCCCUGAUCAGGGAACUAAGAUCCUGCAAGCCCUGUGCCCUGUGGCAUGGCCCCAGGCGCCCCCCCCAAAAAAAAGAAUGCAAUUACAACAUCCCUUCAUGCCAUACAAAAAAAUAAGUAAACUCAAAAUGGAUUAAAAACCUAAAUAUAAGACCAGAAACCAAAAAACUCCUAGAGGAAAUCGUAGGCAGUACACUCUGUGACAUAAAUAGUAGCAAUAUUUUUUUUGGAUCCGUCUCCUAAAGCAAAGGAAAUAAAAGCAAAAAUAAACAAAUGGGACCUAAUUAAACUUAAAAGCUUUUGUAUAGCAAAGGAAACCAUCGAUAAAAUGAAAAGGCAGCCUACUGAGUGGGAGAAAAUAUUUGCAAGUGAUAUGACCUAUAAGGAGUUAAUAUCCAACAUAUAUAAACAGCUCAUUCAGGGACUUCCCUGGUGGUCCAGUGGUUAAGAAUCGGCCUUCCAAUGCAGGGGAUGCGGGUUCGAUCCCUGGUUGGGGAACUAAGAUCCCACAUGCCACGGGAUGCCUCAACUAGAGAGCCCGUGCACUGCAACGAAGAGCCCACUUGCUGCAACGAAGAUCCCGUGUGCCACAACAACCAAGACCCAAUGCAGCCAAAUAAAUAAAUAAAUACUAAAAAAAAUAAACAGCUCAUUCAAUUCAACAUAAAAAAAGAUUAAAAACUGGGCAGAAGACCUGAAUAAACCCCUACUUACAUGGUCGAUUAAUCUGUGACAAAGGAGGCAAGAAUAUACAAUGAGGCAAAGACUCUUCAAUAAAUGGUGUUGGAUAAACAGGACAGCUACAUGCAAGAGAAUCAGACUAGACUCCUAACUCACACCAAAGUAAAUUCAAAAUGAAUUUAAAACUUAAAUGUAAGACCUGAAACCAUACAACUUCUAGAGGAAGAUACAGGCAGUAUUCUUUGACAUCAGUCUUAGCAAUAGUUUUUUGGAUCUGUCUCCUCAAGCAAGAGAAACAAAAGCAAACAAACAGCCAGGACUACAUCAAACCAAGAAGCUUUUGCACAGUGAAGGAAACUCAACAAAAUGAAAGGGCAGCCAACCGAAUGGGAGAAGAUAUUUGCAACUGGUAUAUAUCAAAUAGGGGUUAACAAAGAACUCAAACAACUCAACAUCAAAAAUACCUGAUUAAAAAAUGGGCAGAGGACCUGAAUACACAAUUUUCCAAGGAAGACAUACAGAUGGCCAGACACAUGGAAAGAUGCGCAAUGUCACUAAUCAUCGGGGAAAUGCAAAUGAAAACCACAAUAAGAUACCACCUCACACCUGACAGAACGGCUGUUAUCAAAACGACAACAAGUAACAAGUGGUGGUGAGGCUGUGGAGAAAGGGGACCCUUGUGCCCUGUUGGUGGGAAUGUAAACUGGUGCAGCCACUGUGGAGAACAGUAUGGAGGGUCCUCAAAAAACUAGAACUAGAGCUGCCAUAUGAGCCAGCAAUUCCACUCCUGGGUAUUUAUCCAAAGAAAAUAAAAACACUAAUUAGAAAAAAAUACAUGCACCCCUACGUUCACUGCAGCAUUAUUUACAAUUGCCAAGAUACAGAAAGCAAUCUAAGUGUCCAUCAACAGAUGAAUGGAUAAAGGGGUGUGCGUGCAGUGCAUGGAAUAUUACUUGGUCAUAAAAAAGAAUGAAAUCUUACCAUUUGUGACAACAUGGAUGGACCUAGAGGGCAUUAUGCUAAGUGAAAUAAGUCAGAGAAAAACAAAUACUGUACGAUUUCACUUAUAUGUGGAAUCUAAAAACGAACAAACACAGAACAGAAACAGUUACAGACACAGAGAACAAACAGGUGGUUGCCAGAAGUGGGGUGGGUGAGGGGAGGACAGAAACAGGUGAUUAAGGGAGGGGGAUAUAGAGGGACAAACUUCAGGUGCAAAAUAAACAUGUCACGGGUCUGAAAUGCACAGUGUGAGGAAUGCAGUCAGUGAUAAUGUGAGAACUGUGUGUGGAGACACGUCAUAAUUAGACUAAUGGUGGUGAUAGUUUGAAAGCUAUAGAAAUAUCAAGUCCCUAUGUUGUAUAACAGAAACUAACACAGUGUUGCAAGGCAAUUAUACUUCAAACAAACAGAAAAAGAUCAGAUUUGUGGUUGCCCGUGGAGGGGAAGGGGGAGGGGGGAUUAGAUGAAGGUGGUCAAAAGGUACAAACUUCCAGUUAUAAAUAAGUACUAGGGAUGCAGUGUGCAACACGAUGAACAUAGUUAACACGGCCGUAUGUUACAUGUGAGAUGAUGGAUGUUCAGUGAACUUACUGUGGUCCUCACUCCAUGAUGUCAGUAUGGAAAUCAGAUAGAUCACCAUGCUGCACACCUUACACUUACACCGGCUGUAAGUUAAUUAUAUCUCAGUAAAACUGGAAGGAAAAAUAAAGGAAAAAUACAUACCUGUUCAUUAAAACCAUUAUUUUACCCUGCAGUCCAUCCAGUUUCUGUGUUACUUUCUCUACGUCUUGAAAGUACUUUUCAGCUGUCUUUAUGUCUCCAAUCUGCUUUGACAAAAUUAUGUAGUCAGUUCAGCUGACAAAUGUUAAAUCUAAACCCACAUACACAGUUUCCUCAUGUUAUGUAUCAGGCAGGGUAAAACUCUGGUAUAACCAUUUACUGAUUAUCACUUUUUGUUACCAAAAAAAAGUAAGAGCCAUUUAGGAUACAGCAGGACGUCAACAUCUAUCUCUACGUCAGCAAGUGAGUGGUUAAUACACCUGCAUGUUAACAAGUCUCUUACAAUUUUUAAUUUGUACCCUUCAAAAGGAAUCCUGGCAUAGCAUUAUGAAAACUAAAAAUACCUCCCGACUCCGGCCAGGCCCCGGGCCCGUUCUUAAACCUGCCCGUGGAUCAUUUCAAGAAACCUCUGCCAUGUGGCACCCAGGCAAAACAUGCUCCACAAGUCCAACUUGUAUAUUUGGCAAAUUAAACUUGAUAUUAUCGUUAAAAAAAAAAGAAAAAAAAAAGAAUGACUAAAAAAGUACAACAUUUACCUUUUGGUAUAAUAUUACAGUCUCCCAGUCAAUUAUUGGGGGGUUAUUUGUGACCAGUAAAAUGACAGAGAUCAUCAAACUAACAAAUUUCAGUCCUAUUCUGACCCAAUAAUACAGAAUUCUAUCGUGCGAACAAAUGGCUGCGCUCUUAGCGAACGGUUACAGAGACCUCCUCAGCUCCCUCUAAAAUGAAGCCAGAGCCACUGGGGGUCCUGAUGGCUAAACCCCCUCCCCCGUCCUGCCAUCGCUGCGGACCACAGCCUGGGGGGCGGGGGGUUAAGAGGGAAUCGGGUCUCCUUCUGCACGAGGAAGGAGAUCAGUGAUCUAAGGCUUAGACUGCAAAAUACAGGAAAAAUGAAAACCUGUGACAACAAAGACCUUACGACCAGGGUGAAGGAAGAACAAAGGCCUCUGUGUUCCAGGCCUAAAGGAGCAGCUCUGGAGCAGCUGACUCCAGGGCAUCUCGUUACAACACACCACGAGGUGUCUCUGCAUCUGCCGAGGGGACAGCAUCGCAGCUGCAGUGUCAGCGCCCUCUUCUGCACACUCACCCCCAUCCCGAUUCCCGGGGUCCACCUGCCGGGAGCGCUUGUUCCCUUCCCCUUCCUUCCAGGGAAGCCCGCGUACUACCUCCCUGCAGCCGAGGGCAGGCGUGCCCACCACCCAGCACCAAGGGUCUGGGUUACUCUCCACAGUGAGACCCCUGCAGGCAGCACCCGGCCCCUUCACGGUACCCUGGGAAACCAGGGCCUGGUGUUUGGUGACACAAAGACACUGGCUGCACUGCUGCUGCUGUGAGUAAUGAGCGCCCUUCGUCGCCGACCCGGGGAUCUCGAGUCCUCAGCCAGCGCCCAUCAAGCUACCCUCACGGUCUCCGGCCCCUCUCUGUUGUCAAUGCUGCCCCGAAAAACACCCCGCCAGGAGGAGGAAACAAAGUGGCACCAUCCGCGCGUCUACUGGCCCCGCCCUCACGCACACGGUGGGAGCACCCGGGGUCCCCCACAGAGGCCUGAACAUCUGCGUCCCCCGCAGUGCGCUCACUUACCCUGCAUCCUCCAGGGCCCAGGGGCAUACUGAUGGAGAUACUGACGCUCACCAGCUGAUAACAAAGGUGCACCAAGCCCUAAAUGUCUGCUGGGUGCUGUGCUAAGUGCUUCCCACCGCUCACAACUUCUAACAAGCUGUGCUGUUGGUCCCACUCCUUUCUUCACUCUCUGGAUUAAAAAGAUGAGGCUCAGAAAGGCUGGGCGGCUUCCUCAGGUCACAAAGCUAACAUAACAGAAUGGGACUGUCCAACUCCCAGACCACGUGCUGGCCCUCUGCACCGCACGGCCUCAAGGAGCUGGUACAGGACUUGCGCUGAAACUAUUUUCUAGUGGGAGAUAACGAAGGAAUCUUAGAAUUUUCUUUGCACCUGAUUUUUCUGGUCAUUAGAAGGGCAAUUUCUCAAGGAAUCCAUCUCAGCGCUUCCCAGAUGAUAAUCUACGAAAAUGCACGUCUAGCAACUGGCUUCCUAAUCACGUCAAAGCCCGGAGCACCGUCAAGCCAGGACCAAGAAAACUGCCCCUUCUACAGCCACAGAAGUCUGACUUGAUGUACUUCCUGUUCUCUUUCUGCAAUCUACAGCAUCCACGCUAAGGCGACCCCCGGCCCACCCUGCCAGCCGCGCGGCUCACCUGGAGGAAGAUCCGGCCAAUGCAGCUCAGCAGCUGGGGCUCCUGGUGUGGGUAGUACUGGACGACCGAGCGGUACGCGUCCACGGCCAGCACGUAAUCCUGCGGGGGACCCAGAGAGCAUCCCAGAGUUAGGAGGAGCACGCUGUUUUACACGUUACAGGAGCGCAGGUACCUGCAGACUCGCACGUGAAGCGGGAACACGAAUGCGUGGGCAGGUGGGACGUGGCACCGCCGUGAGGGCGGCAGAUGGCCCAGCAAACCAGGCUCUGAGUUCUGUGUGUAACCACGGCCCUGAGAGCCUUCCUCUCCCCGAGGGGCUCUGGUUGUGCACUGAGGGCAGAGGGGCUUUCUUCUUCCAGCUUCUGAGUAGCAACUAGUAUUUCACCUGGACUCACUCUUUCUUUUCUGACAAAAUCCUUAAUUGGUGAAUUUUGUCUUGCCUCCAUCUGCCAGACACAGAAACUGAAUUUAUUAAUAGCGUCUCUUAAACAUUUUCUUUACUAAAACUCGAGGUAAAGUUCUUAAAUGCAGACAAACAUAAGCCCCGUAAAACAGGUGGGCCGGGAGAGCUCGCUGGCUCUGGCGGGAGGAGGCCAUCCGGGGCACCUGGCCGUAUUGCCAGGGGCACAAGGACAAAUCCCCAACAGCCCCGAGCUCAGACGGCAGGGUCGCCGUCCCGCCUGCUGGUGGGCACUGUCCCGGGCUCGUGUGAACAGCUCCCUGCGUCUCCCGGGUCAGCAAACAGCAGGCCGCGCGGCAGUGUUCUCCUCACUGAGUCUUCGUAAAACCCCACAAGGUACUUUUCUUUCUUUCGUCGUCUACGUUUCCAAUGUCAUGAAAACUGGGACAGGCGUUACUAGUUCGCUAACUGGAUGUUAUGAAGACAGACGACAAGAAACGUUCCAGUUUAGCAGAGAAAAAAAUAAAUGGAAAGACUCUGGCAGCUUCGAGAGCAGCUCUUCACGACGAACUGGACUUGCUGGUGCAGGUGGCGAGCCGGCAGUACCUGACUGUCCCCCUCGGCUCCUGCCACCUCUGCCCGCACCCUGCCCAGCGGGAGCGCGCAGGUGAGGGUGUGCCGAGAGCCCGCUCUCGGGGCGGCAGUGACCCCCCGGUGCCUGGGGUCCGAGGGACGCUGAGGCCCGGCUUGGGGUCCGGCGCUGCUGAGCCCUGGACUUCUGCGGGGAGACGGGGGCACCUCGGAGCAUCUGAGAAUCACCCACUGUGCUGAACGUCUACGCCUCACUUCAGGCUUAGGGCGAACGAAAGGCCACCUCGCCGUUCGUGUCCGGCGGCGCCCAAGUGUCACCGGGUCAGGCCAGUGCACACGCCCCGAUCCCGGCCCGCGUCUCCGGGUGGCUCUGUGGCCGGCGUCGCCGCCUGACACCUCCACGUCUCGGCGCUCCGGCCUGCUACGGAGAGGCAUGCGGCCGCUGUCCCCCCCGGAGCGGCGCUCCUGGGAGAGCACGGCUGGGCGAACACAGCCGUGGGGACCCCGUGCGGAGGCUUUCAGACGAGGCGCCGGGCCCGGGUGGCAGCCCCGGGUGGCUGCAGCCUCGGGCCCAGGCCCUGGCGGUUCCAAGGAGCCCGGCCUCCAGUAAACCAGAGCGGAGCGCGGCCCAGAGCUUGUCAGCAGACGACCAUUUAACGAAAUCGUUUAUUUACCGGAGGAAAGGAGGAAAUGCGGCCCCGGCUGAAGGGCGCUCUUGAGGGCGAGCGCCGUCCAGGCCGCGGGCAGGCGGGCGCGGCCGCUCGCAGGGACCGACUGCUCUAGCUCCGUCUUCCCCCUCUUCUUUCAGCAGCUGCACCGUCUGGCGGGGCACGGAGGCGGGCGGCGCGGCGCCCUGAGUCUCCCAGAUGGGCUGGGGUGCCCAGGCUGCGACAGUGUUCCAGGCACACGUUCAGGCUGAAGCGUGUGGACAGACUUCUCAUCGUUAAAAAGGUGAAUCAGCGUUCACGUCGCCGUAGCAGAAAUGUUAUUCAGAAUAAGAAGCGGCUGCUGAAGUAACCCAGCGUCGCCCAUACACGAACGGAAGGGACGGGACGCGCCGGUGAGGCCGACGCUGCUGUAAUUCCGGGCUCGCUCACUAGGUGGCGACAGGAUGCGCACGCGUGCUGGCGCCUCAGCCGCAAAAUUUUUCAUUCCUUUUUUUAACUCGUGGAAAUGAAAGCAUAAUCUAAAAUCUCAAAUUAAACUGCACUUGUGGUAAAAGUAUUUUUGAAGCACAGUGAUCUGUUCUGUACUGAGUCCCGACAACGUAGGUACAAGACUUAGUCUGGCGCCUGGUGGUAUCAUCACUGCAGCAGUAGACAAAGGGUGUUCUUAUCCCACAAUUUUCUAUUAAUGUGCCUUAAAAAUGCACACAGGAAGCCACCAGUGGAACAGGAGACCCUCCUGAGGUGUCCCAGCCCGUGACCAAGGAGACACCGAUCGGCCCGUGACCUUACGAUGUGUCCUUUGUUUCUGCACGUGAGCCGGCGAGCUCCACGGAAGGAAGGCGGCAGUGGCCCUGGGCGGCUCCCUCCACCCGCGGGAGGGACGGGGCGCCGUGUCAGGGGUCACGGUGGCAGGAAGGGAGGAGCUGAGAGAACCAGAGCGCCUUAAC
Molecule: long non-coding RNA, 10157 nt
Organism: Lagenorhynchus albirostris (white-beaked dolphin)
Lineage: Eukaryota; Metazoa; Chordata; Mammalia; Artiodactyla; Delphinidae
Exons: 4
Source: RefSeq, a predicted model, not a curated record